Cordylochernes scorpioides is the source of this 74-nucleotide non-coding RNA. The record is from the annotation of a GenBank genome assembly. NCBI's taxonomy places the organism in Eukaryota, Metazoa, Arthropoda, Arachnida, Pseudoscorpiones, Chernetidae.
GGUCAAGGGAUGGGAAUCGAACCCACGACCUUCCGCUUACCGGGCAGAUGCCAUGACCACUAGGCUACCCUGGC